UACGGAAGGCAGCAGUGGGGAAUAUUGGACAAUGGGCGAAAGCCUGAUCCAGCCAUGCCGCAUGAGUGAAGAAGGCCUUCGGGUUGUAAAGCUCUUUUAGUGAGAAAGAUAAUGACGGUACUCGCAGAAGAAGUCCUGGCUAACUCCGUGCCAGCAGCCGCGGUAAUACGGAGAGGGCUAGCGUUAUUCGGAAUUAUUGGGCGUAAAGAGCGCGUAGGCUGAUUAGUAAGUUAAAAGUGAAAUCCCAAAGCUUAACUUUGGAAUUGCUUUUUAAAACUGCUAGUCUAGAGAUUGAAAGAGGAUAGAGGAAUUCCUAGUGUAGAGGUGAAAUUCGUAAAUAUUAGGAGGAACACCAGUGGCGAAGGCGUCUAUCUGGUUCAAAUCUGACGCUGAGGCGCGAAGGGCGUGGGGAGCAAACAGGGAUUAGAUACC
Molecule: ribosomal RNA, 432 nt
Filed under: uncultured bacterium
Lineage: Bacteria
Description: bacterial SSU rRNA
Rfam family: Bacterial small subunit ribosomal RNA
Source: RNAcentral